AUCCAAUCAGAAUAUGUAGUCCAGGAACGGCAUUUGCAUAACCUCGGUAUAUAAAGCAUGGUGAGGUCGCAUCAGGUCAUUUCAGGCUCUGCUGUGUCAAGUCGGGGAGCGGCUCUUUGCUCAGCUUAGAGAACUGGAAGAGGCCGCAACCUUCUGCCUGCUGGAGGCUGGAGGAUGGAUGGAGCCUGGAGCCUGGGACACUACCUUGCUGUGGUUGGUGGUGGCGACAGAGCAGUAAGAGGGUGGCCGGCAGCAGGAGCUUGUCCUGCUGGGCUGGAGGACUAGGAGAAGGAAGAGGCACCACCACAUGCUGGAGGCUGAAGCCUGGAGUCUGUGCCACCAUGGCUCGCCUCGCUGUGGUUGGUGGUGACGCUGGAGACUGCAGCUGGGCCACAGUGGUAGAAAUGUGAUGGGGUAGGUUUUUGGGGAACAGGUGGCGUUUGAUUGUAAGAGUAAGUUCCUUAGAGGUUGGAAACACUCUCUUUGUGGAAUCUAUGAAGGGACAUUUUGAAGCCCUUUGAGGCCUAUAGUGAAAAACCAAACACCCUGUGAUAAAAAUUAGAUGCAAGCUAUAUAUGAAAAUGCUUUGUAAUGUGUAGAUUUAUCUCACAGAAUUAAACCUUUGUGUUUACACAGAAUUUUGGAAACACUCUAUUAAUAGAAUCUAAAAGGAAAUAAUUCUGAGCCCAUUGAGGCCUAUAGCGAAAAACCGAAUAUCUUGCGAUAAAAACUUGAAACAAGCUGUCUAUAAAAAUACUUUGUGAUAUGUGGACUCACCUCAAAGAGUUAAACUUUUCUUUUGAUUAAGCAGGUUAGAAACAUUCUUUUGUAGAAUCUACAAGGGGCAUUUCUGAACCCACUGAGGCCUAUAGUGAAAAACAGAAUAUUACAGGAUAAAAUCUAGAAAAAACAUAUCUGUGAAAAUGCUUUGCAAUAUGUGGCUUCUUCUCACAAUGUAAAACCUUUGUUUUGAUUUAGCAAGUUGGAAACUCUCUUUUUGUACAAUUUGUGAGGAGACAUUUCGAAGACCAUUGAGGCAUGUAGUGAAAAACUAAAUAUCCCAUGAUAAAAACUAGAAACAAGCUAUCUGUGAAAAUGCUUUGUGAUGUGUGGAUUUAGCUCACAGAGUUAAACCUUUGUUUUUUAUACCACAGUUUUCAAACACUCUUUUAGUAGAAAGUAAAGGAAGACAUUUCUGAUCCCAUCAAGGCCUAUAGUGAAAAACCGAAUAUCCAGCGAUAAAAACUAGAAACAAGCUAUCUGUGAAAAUGCUUUGCAAUGUGCAGAUUCAUCUGACAGGGUUAAAUCUUUGUUUUGAUUCAACAGGUUAGAAACAGUUUUUGUACAAUCUACAAAGGGACAUUUUGGAGCACAUUGACGCCUACAGUGUGAAUCCAAAUAUUUUGCGAUAAAAACUAAAAAUAAGCUAUUCUUUGAAAAUGCUUUGUGAUGUGUACAAUCAUCUCACAGAGUUAAACCAUAUUUACAUACAGCAGUUUAGAAACACUCUUUUUGUAGAAUUUAAGAAGGUACAAUUAAGAUUCCAUUGAAGCUUAUAGUUAAAAACCAAAUAUUCAGCAAUAAAAACUAGAAACAAGCUAUCUGAAAAAUGCUUUGCAAUGUGUGAUUUGAUAUCACAGAGUUAAACCUUUAUUUUGAUUCAGAAAAAAAUAAACUUUUUUUUCUGGAAUCUACGAAGAGACAUUUUGGAGCCCAUUGAGGCCAAUAGUGAAAAAUUGAAUGUCUCAUGAUAAAAGCCAGAAACAAACUAUCUGUGAAAAUGCCUUGCAACAUGUGGAUUCGUCUCACAGAGUUAAACCUUUGUUUUUAUUGAGCAG
This 1838-nucleotide long non-coding RNA is filed under the name Homo sapiens (human). RNAcentral's name for it is "HSALNT0238776". The record is from RNAcentral. Lineage: Eukaryota; Metazoa; Chordata; Mammalia; Primates; Hominidae.